RNA transcript from Penaeus monodon (black tiger shrimp), 2819 nucleotides. It is a transcript of the gene named ribonucleoside-diphosphate reductase large subunit-like, with no coding region annotated. NCBI's taxonomy places the organism in Eukaryota, Metazoa, Arthropoda, Malacostraca, Decapoda, Penaeidae. The record is from RefSeq and is a predicted model, not a curated record. The transcript has 16 exons.
AUGGACGUCAAAAACCUUUUUAUGUUCGACAAAAUCACUUCUCGAAUUCAGAAGCUCUGCUAGGGACUCAACAUGGACUUCAUUGAUCCUCCUGCAAUCACCCUUAAAGUGAUCAAGGGCUGUAUUCUGGUGUGACAACUGUAGAAUUGGAUAACCUUGCUGCUAAAAAACUGCUGCAACAAUGACAACAAAGCACCCUGUUUUAUGCUGUGCUUGCUGCCAGGAUUGCGGUGUCAAACCUCCACAAAGAACCAAGAAGAGUUCAAUCCUAUAACAUGGUUGAUAAUAAGACUGGAAAUAAGAUGCCCAUGCUUGGCGAACACUACUACAAGAUCAUCAUGGAGCAUGCAGAUAAACUCAAUUCUGCUAUUAUCUAUGACCCUGACUUUUUUUACAAUUAUUUUGGCUUCAGGUCAGUAAUGUGAAUAUAAAACUCUGGACGUUCUUAUUUGCUCAAGAUCAAUGGCAAAGUGGGAGAGCGACCCAAAAAGAUGGGUUUAUGAGGGUUGCAGUGGGCAUCCAUGGUGAGGAUAUUGAUGCUAUUGAGACUUACAACCUAUUGUCUGAGAAGUGGGUUUACACAUGCCUCACCCACUCUUUUCAAUGCUGCUACAAGAAGGCCACAGUUAUCUAGCUGCUUCCUACUAACGAUGAAGGGCGACAGAUUGAGGGCAAAUUUUUGACCACUUAAGCAGUGUGCUCUGAUCUCCAAGUCUGCUGGAGGCAUUGGGCUGAACGUGCACUGAUCAGGUCCAUGGGAAGUAUAUUGCAGGAACCAAUGGAACUUCUAAUGGUCUUGUGCCCCUGUUGAGGGUGUACAAUAACACAGCUCGUUAUGUUGACCAGGGUGGAAACAAGAGGCCAGGUGCAUUUGCCAUCUACUUGGAGCCAUGGCACCCAGAUAUUUUCGAUUUCCUUGAUCUUCGCAAAAUUAUGGAAAGGUGAGAGGAUGAACAAAGAGCAAGGGAUCUUUUCUUGCUUUGUGGAUCCUGAUCUGUUCAUGCAGCAAGUGGAAGCCAAUGGCGAAUGGUACCUGAUGUGCCCUAUGAAUGCCCAGGAUUCAUGAUACCUGGGGUGAGGAAUUUGAGAAACUCUUUCCACAAGUAUAUCGAAGAAGGUCGUUUCCGUCGCAAAGUGAAGGCACAACAGUUUUGGUAUGCAGUUAUUGAAUCACAGACCUGGUACACCAUACAUGGUUAUAUAAAGGAUGCCUGCAAUAGAAAGAGUAAACCAACAGAACCUUGGUACCAUCAAAUGUUCUAACCUCUGUACCGAGAUAGUAGAAAAAUUCCUCACCAGAUGAGGUUGCUGUGUGCAAUUUAGCAUCAAUUGCUCUCAACAUGUAUGUCAACCCAGACAAAACCUACAACUUUGUCAAGCUAAAGGAGGUUACAAAGGUCAUUACAAGAAAUCUGAACAAGAUUAUCGAUGUCAACUUCUACCCUGUUGAAGAGGCUAAGCGUUCAAACAUGCGCCAUCGACCUAUUGGCAUUGGUGUACAAGGGCUUGCUGAUGCCUUCAUUCUCAUGAGAUAUCCCUUUGACUCGGAAGAAGCAAAGUUGCUCAACAAGCAGAUCUUUGAGACCAUUUACUAUGGUGCAAUGGAAGCAAGCUGUGAACUAGCAGAGAAAUUUGGUCCUUAUGAAACCUAUGAAGGAUGUCCAGUCAGUAAAGGGAUUUUCCAGUAUGACAUGUGGAACGUAACUCCAACUGACCUGCAUGACUGGGCUGCUCUCAAGGCCAAGGUAGCUAAGUUCGGAGUGCGUAACUCCCUGCUGCUGGCCCCCAUGCCUACUGCAUCAACAGCUCAGAUUCUGGGCAACAACGAGUCCAUUGAAGCCUACACCUCCAACAUCUAUUCUCGUCGUGUCCUCUCAGGAGAGUUCCAGGUUGUAAAUCACCACCUCUUGAGGGAUUUGACUGAACUUGGCCUCUGGGAUGAUGAAACCAAGAACGAGAUGAUUGCCAAGAAUGGGUCAAUUCAGGGCAUUGCAAAGAUUCCUGAUGACCUGAAGGCCUUGUACAAGACUGUGUGGGAGGUUUCGCAGAAAGUGGUAAUCCAGAUGGCAGCUGAUCGUGGUGCCUUCAUUGAUCAAAGUCAGUCGCUGAACAUCCACAUUGCUGAGCCAAACUACGGAAAGCUAACAUCCAUGCACUUCUAUGCCUGGAAAUUGGGUCUGAAGACUGGCAUGUACUACCUCCGCACUAAGCCAGCUGCCAAUGCCAUUCAGUUUACUGUUGAUAAGUCCAAGCUAAAGAAGGCUGAAACUGCCAAUGGUCAUGCAAAUGGCACUACAAAUGGCACUACCAAUGGCACCUCUAGUGCAUCAAAACCAGAUGCUAUGAAUAUGGCAGCCAUGGUUUGCUCCCUUGAGAACAAGGAUGAGUGCCUCAUGUGUGGAUCGUAAAGUACAAUAUGAACAAAAAAACUAACAAAAGAACUUCAAUGUGUUCCCAGUGAUUUCUCCAAAUAUUCUUUUAAACUUUACUGUACAAGCUUUUUUUUCUUUCCUUCUGCUCUUGCAGUUUUCAUUGUGAUAAAUAGUAAGUUAAGUUGUAUAUUUUGUUACGUGAUUUUAAUUCUGCUUUUACCUUCCUUUUGAGUUAAAUCUAUCAUGUAUAUCACUUAAGUUCUUUCACUUAAGUUGUGCAUUCACACUUGUGCCUUAUUCUCUCUGCACAACACAACCGAGAGCUAACAUAUCACUGCCAUUAUCUUAAGUAGGUACAUGACUAAGGAAACUUAGGUAUUAGUGUACCACUAUAUUUUUACUACUGUGUGUAUUGUAUACAUUUUUUUUAUAAAGCAUUUAUAUAUA